GACAGAGGGUGCAAACGUUGUUCGGAAUUACUGGGCGUAAAGCGUGUGUAGGCGGCUACAUAAGUCGGAUGUGAAAGCCCCUGGCUCAACUGGGGAAGUGCACCCGAAACUGAGUAGCUUGAGUGCAAAAGAGGGCCGCGGAAUUCCCGGUGUAGAGGUGAAAUUCGUAGAUAUCAGGAGGAACACCGGUGGCGAAGGCGGAUCUCUGGGCCAUUACUGACGCUGAGGAGCGAAAGCGUGGGGAGCGAACAGG
This 253-nucleotide ribosomal RNA is filed under the name uncultured bacterium. RNAcentral's name for it is "partial 16S ribosomal RNA". It matches the Rfam family "Bacterial small subunit ribosomal RNA", at positions 524 to 776 of the family's 1533-position model. The record is from RNAcentral.